RNAcentral lists this ribosomal RNA (566 nucleotides) under Marinobacter sp. U32. RNAcentral's name for it is "bacterial SSU rRNA". It matches the Rfam family "Bacterial small subunit ribosomal RNA", at positions 355 to 917 of the family's 1533-position model. Lineage: Bacteria; Pseudomonadati; Pseudomonadota; Gammaproteobacteria; Pseudomonadales; Marinobacteraceae. The record is from RNAcentral.
CCGGGAUUGGACAGGGGGGCACCCUGAUCCACCAUGCCGCGUGUGUGAACAAAGAUUUCGGGUUGUAAAGCACUUGUCUCAGACGAGGAAUGCCAUAGUGUUAACUACCCUUGAGGAUUGAGGUUACUCACAGAAUAAGCACCGGCUAACUCCGUGCCAGCAGCCGCGGUAAUACGGAGGGUGCAAGCGUUAAUCGGAAUUACUGGGCGUAAAGCGCGCGUAGGUGGUUUGAUAAACGAGAUGUGAAAGCCCCGGGCUUAACCUGGGAACGGCAUUUCUAACUGUCAGGCUAGAGUGUGGUACAGGGUAGUGGAAUUUCCUGUGUAGCGGUGAAAUGCGUAUAUAUAGGAAGGAACACCACUGGCGAAGGCGGCUACGUGGACCAACACUGACACUGAAGUGCGAAAGCGUGGGGAGCAAACAGGAUUAGAUACACUGGUAGUCCACGCCGUAAACGAUGUCAACUAUGCUGCGCGACUCUUGAAGUCUUAGUGGCGCAGCUAACGCACUAAGUUGACCGCCUGGGGAGUACGGCCGCAAGGUUAAAACUCAAUGGAAUUGACGGA